Molecule: transfer RNA, 69 nt
Filed under: Cercopithecus mona (Mona monkey)
Lineage: Eukaryota; Metazoa; Chordata; Mammalia; Primates; Cercopithecidae
Description: tRNA-His
Rfam family: tRNA
About the family: Transfer RNA (tRNA) molecules are approximately 80 nucleotides in length. Their secondary structure includes four short double-helical elements and three loops (D, anti-codon, and T loops). Further hydrogen bonds mediate the characteristic L-shaped molecular structure. tRNAs have two regions of fundamental functional importance: the anti-codon, which is responsible for specific mRNA codon recognition, and the 3' end, to which the tRNAs corresponding amino acid is attached (by aminoacyl-tRNA synthetases). tRNAs cope with the degeneracy of the genetic code in two manners: having more than one tRNA (with a specific anti-codon) for a particular amino acid; and 'wobble' base-pairing, i.e. permitting non-standard base-pairing at the 3rd anti-codon position.
Source: RNAcentral
GUAAAUAUAGUUUAAUCAAAACACUAGAUUGUGAAUCUAGCAAUAGGAGUCUAUUCCUCCUUAUUUACC